This 841-nucleotide ribosomal RNA is filed under the name uncultured bacterium. RNAcentral's name for it is "bacterial SSU rRNA". It matches the Rfam family "Bacterial small subunit ribosomal RNA", at positions 38 to 873 of the family's 1533-position model. The record is from RNAcentral.
GGCGGCAGGCUUAACACAUGCAAGUCGAGCGGGGAAGGGUAGCUUGCUACCUGACCUAGCGGCGGACGGGUGAGUAAUGCUUAGGAAUCUGCCUAUUAGUGGGGGACAACAUUCCGAAAGGAAUGCUAAUACCGCAUACGCCCUACGGGGGAAAGCAGGGGAUCUUCGGACCUUGCGCUAAUAGAUGAGCCUAAGUCAGAUUAGCUAGUUGGUGGGGUAAAGGCCUACCAAGGCGACGAUCUGUAGCGGGUCUGAGAGGAUGAUCCGCCACACUGGGACUGAGACACGGCCCAGACUCCUACGGGAGGCAGCAGUGGGGAAUAUUGGACAAUGGGCGAAAGCCUGAUCCAGCCAUGCCGCGUGUGUGAAGAAGGCCUUUUGGUUGUAAAGCACUUUAAGCGAGGAGGAGGCUACCGAGAUUAAUACUCUUGGAUAGUGGACGUUACUCGCAGAAUAAGCACCGGCUAACUCUGUGCCAGCAGCCGCGGUAAUACAGAGGGUGCGAGCGUUAAUCGGAUUUACUGGGCGUAAAGCGUGCGUAGGCGGCUUUUUAAGUCGGAUGUGAAAUCCCUGAGCUUAACUUAGGAAUUGCAUUCGAUACUGGGAAGCUAGAGUAUGGGAGAGGAUGGUAGAAUUCCAGGUGUAGCGGUGAAAUGCGUAGAGAUCUGGAGGAAUACCGAUGGCGAAGGCAGCCAUCUGGCCUAAUACUGACGCUGAGGUACGAAAGCAUGGGGAGCAAACAGGAUUAGAUACCCUGGUAGUCCAUGCCGUAAACGAUGUCUACUAGCCGUUGGGGCCUUUGAGGCUUUAGUGGCGCAGCUAACGCGAUAAGUAGACCGCC